UGGGGAAUAUUGCACAAUGGGCGCAAGCCUGAUGCAGCCAUGCCGCGUGUAUGAAGAAGGCCUUCGGGUUGUAAAGUACUUUCAGUCGGGAGGAAGGUGGUAAGGUUAAUAACCUUAUCAAUUGACGUUACCGACAGAAGAAGCACCGGCUAACUCCGUGCCAGCAGCCGCGGUAAUACGGAGGGUGCAAGCGUUAAUCGGAAUUACUGGGCGUAAAGCGCACGCAGGCGGUUGAUUGAGUCAGAUGUGAAAUCCCCGGGCUUAACCCGGGAAUUGCAUCUGAUACUGGUCAGCUAGAGUCUUGUAGAGGGGGGUAGAAUUCCAUGUGUAGCGGUGAAAUGCGUAGAGAUCCGGAGGAAUACCGGUGGCGAAGGCGGCCCCCUGGACGAAGACUGACGCUCAGGUGCGAAAGCGUGGGGAGCAAACAGG
This 429-nucleotide ribosomal RNA is filed under the name Chloroflexota bacterium. RNAcentral describes it as "Chloroflexi bacterium partial 16S ribosomal RNA". It matches the Rfam family "Bacterial small subunit ribosomal RNA", at positions 355 to 776 of the family's 1533-position model. The record is from RNAcentral. Lineage: Bacteria; Bacillati; Chloroflexota.